Molecule: long non-coding RNA, 2536 nt
Organism: Aquila chrysaetos chrysaetos
Lineage: Eukaryota; Metazoa; Chordata; Aves; Accipitriformes; Accipitridae
Exons: 2
Source: RefSeq, a predicted model, not a curated record
CUGUGUGGAGGAGGAGGGUGGUGGCGGCGGCCGGCUGCGCUGCGCUGCUCUGCUGUCCGUCUCCGCUACAAGACCGUCAAUGGCAACUUCCUGUAGCACUGUCCGGGGCAGCGCCAACCACGGCGCGGGUCCUCCCGGGUGCUCGUUCCCCCGAGCCGCAGACCCUUUCUCUGUCAGCGGGGCCCGUGUACUGCGGCCCCCCAAACGGUGCACAGGCUUCUAAAGAAGGAAAAGCAGCGGGCGUUCUGGCAGUGCCCGGCACACUGGUAGGCAUCAGUAACCCGCCAGCUCCCUCCCAGUAGCUCAACUGCUGUUAGAAUUUUUAAGAAGGAGCUUUCAGGGAAGCUCGCCUGACCUGUAAUUGCCUUGAAGUUCAGAUGGGCCCUAAUGGCCUCUGUGACAGCAAUGGAAAGUGAGCAUCGGAGAGGGUGCUUGGCAUUCUACUGAUGUACCUAAGAAAAGAUGUACUUGAGAAGUGAUAUACUUAAGGAGUGAUUUACUUAAGAAGACCACAAAGAUCUUGUGAAAUAAGAUAUCCUUUGUAUAUACAAGGUAUGCCUUGCUAACGGCUGGGCCCCUGAAGGAGAACUCAAAGACUUACGAGAAGGGAACAUCCUCCCCCAGGAGGCGCCGAGAAGUUGAAAAAUUGCGAAUAGGCAUGAAGUCAGCCAAAAUCUUUGAUAACUGGAGGAAAGGUAAAGGCGGCAGGCAGAGAUCAGGACCACCGACUCAAUUGAAGACCAAAACACUUAAACACCCCCUCCCCUCUUUGAGCAUGCGCUGUGGAAUAAAAGAACACUACCUUUAAUUUGAAGCGGGGAAACUUUAACCCGAUAGAAACUGUACUAGAUAAGCGACUCCCAGUAAUAGUUUUGGGGAAGAACUUUGGAAAUGGAAUAUGUAUAACCGAACUGUAUAAAGUGCUUGCCCGUUUAGGCAUGAGCCGGGUAAACUCGUGGGACAACACUACCAGGGUGCUGUCAGGUGAGCAGUGAUGGCUUUCUUGGGCAGAAGGAGAAACCCUAUUUUAAAUAAAGCCUUUCAGCCUUUCUAAGUCAAAUUGGCAUCUCCUGGAAAACUCACAAAACUUGACUUUUAAAACUUCUAGCACAGUCCCCGAGAGCUUCUUUACCAUGAUCAUGCAUGCUAAAUGUCUUUGCAGACCUCCCAUAGUUCCCAAACUUGGAGAUAGACUGCUGCCUUUUUGUGCUCUUCCUGAGGGUGAAUUAUGAAGGGGUUUGGUUUUUUCAGUGAAUAAUGUGCUACAAAAGCACAAAUAUAAAAAAUAAAAUUCAGUAUCAUGUUACUAUUUAUUUUUCUUCUUUGCCUUUCUCUCUAGAUUUUCUUUAGAUCCCACAAGAAUAGGGAGAGUGGAUAAUGCAUGUGCUUUGUGAAGUCCAAAUUGUUGUGCCAAAAAGACUUACUUUCUUUGCUCAAAACACUUUGCAUCCUCUUGUUUUGGCCUAAGUGGACAAACUCCAUGACUUAGAAUAGAUACCGUUCCAAUGACUUGACUUCAUACAAAACUCAAAGUAAUGGAAUGUGUCUAUUGUCCUAAAUUUCUCUAAUUUCUUCUAUUUAAAACUGUGGAUUUUAUUAAGAUAUUUACAAGGAAGAAUGAAGCAAGUUAAAAGUUUGCCUUUUUUUUUUUUUUACAGGUAUCCAUCAUACUACAGUAGUGUGUUGUUUGUGUCAGUUCUUCUAUUCAAAUAGAUGUUAUUUCUAGAAAUCAUGCUUCAUUGGUGGCUUAUACUAUUUUACAUAUCCCACAUUACUAAAAACAUCCACAAGUAUGACACAGGACCUACUGAAAACUUUCUGAAGUAGCAGCUGGAGGUCAGGCAGUUUUCUUAAACAGGUGCUAGGUGCCUAUGUCUGUGUCUGAAAUCUGAUCCACUGUAGUUACAGAGAAGUUUCAAUAUCACUGCAUCUCAGCUGCAGAAAUUUCCCUCCCAGCAGAUGUUUGCUUACUUGGGCAUCCCAGAGCUUUGCAUAUAUCUGGUUCCAGUUUCCUUUGUACAGUUACCUUUAUUUCUAAGUGUUUUCAUACACCAGUAGGAAAUUAGAAAUCAGUAUUAUUAGUGGGAAGGAAAAUGUUUAUAGAAAUAUAAGGUAUUGGCAAAAAAGCAGCAACUCUAUGGGAAAUUAAUCUGAUGUGCAUAUUCCCACUCUACUGAUUGUUACUGUAUGUUUGCCUACAGUUCAUCCAACAAGUGUGCUGAAUUUAUUCAACAAUGCUGUACGAGCUGUAUUAUAAAUUUCUAGCUGAGAUACUUAACCAUCUGAAAAAGAAAAUCCUGAGAAUCUUCCAGUGGUUUUGUGUAUCCUACGGUAUCAUGUUCCCUUCUUUUAUUUCAGUUAUCUGAUACUGCCUGCUUUUUUCUCUCAUCUACGGUUAUCAGGCAAGUAAUUUUAUGUCUAAAUUUUCAGGAAGAAGCAGAUUCAUUAACUGUAUUCAUCACUGUUAAUAAACAGGGAAAUUGCUAGUGUUAAAUUCUGUUCUGUAAAGGGAAUAAAAUGGCAUGUGUAAAAAGAA